Molecule: ribosomal RNA, 265 nt
Filed under: uncultured archaeon
Lineage: Archaea
Description: partial 16S ribosomal RNA
Rfam family: Archaeal small subunit ribosomal RNA
Source: RNAcentral
ACACGACUACAUUAGACUACCCUGUACGUCCCAGCCGUAAACUAUGCUCGCUAGGUGUCAGGCAUGGCGCGACCGUGUCUGGUGCCGCAGGGAAGCCGUGAAGCGAGCCACCUGGGAAGUACGGCCGCAAGGCUGAAACUUAAAGGAAUCGGCGGGGAGCACAACAACGGGUGGAGCCUGCGGUUUAAUUGGUCUCAACGCCGGGAAGCUCACCGGAUAAGACAGCGGAAUGAUUGCCGGGCUGAAGACUCUGCAUGACUAGCUG